RNAcentral lists this ribosomal RNA (468 nucleotides) under uncultured bacterium. Its description in RNAcentral is "partial 16S ribosomal RNA". It matches the Rfam family "Bacterial small subunit ribosomal RNA", at positions 28 to 507 of the family's 1533-position model. The record is from RNAcentral.
GACGAACGCUGGCGACGUGCUUAACACAUGCAAGUCGAACGGAAAGGCCCUGCUUUUGUGGGGUGCUCGAGUGGCGAACGGGUGAGUAACACGUGAGUAACCUGCCCUUGACUUUGGGAUAACUUCAGGAAACUGGGGCUAAUACCGGAUAGGAGCUCCUGCUGCAUGGUGGGGGUUGGAAAGUUUCGGCGGUUGGGGAUGGACUCGCGGCUUAUCAGCUUGUUGGUGGGGUAGUGGCUUACCAAGGCUUUGACGGGUAGCUGGCCUGAGAGGGUGACCGGCCACAUUGGGACUGAGAUACGGCCCAGACUCCUACGGGAGGCAGCAGUGGGGAAUAUUGCACAAUGGGCGGAAGCCUGAUGCAGCAACGCCGCGUGCGGGAUGACGGCCUUCGGGUUGUAAACCGCUUUCGCCUGUGACGAAGCGUGAGUGACGGUAAUGGGUAAAGAAGCACCGGCUAACUACGUG